AAUAUUAAUAUAUGAAUAAAAUUUUUUUUAAAACUGUUCUGAUGGAGGAGUCACUUUAACUUAACAGGGGAAACUUUGUAUUUUACAUUACUAAUGAAAAUGUUAACUUGGUUUCUUCAUUAAGAAGAAACAAAGGAUGUGUGCCCAGUUUCUCUUUUAGAGGUGGUACUGCCUGUCAAGAAGUGCACAUGUACAAGGUUGUCAUAGCUGACUAUUGAUCAGAUUAUCACUUUAUGUACAAGGUUGUCAUAGCUGACUAUUGAUCAGAUUAUCACAUUAUGAAAGUGAUUUAAAGCUUAGGAUAUUCACGUAAAAAUGAGCCUCAAUGAAGUUACAUAUUAUGAGUAAAGUUACUGUUCUGCUCCUCAGAAAAUGUGCCACCCAUUUAAUCUUAAUAUAUUUGCAUUUAAUUCUACUAUAUUAUGAAUGUUUAUAAAAAAAUAAACUUAAAUAUGAAACAACAAAAAUAAAAAUUAAAAUCUUCAAUAUAUGCUCUCUAGGCUGCAACAUUUUCCAAAUGAAAUAACAAAAACUAUUUCAGGAAAUAAAAAACUCUGAUAAUAAUACACUAUUUAUGCACAAUUUGCAUUACAGCCAGUACAUGAAUGCACCAUUCAUUCUGAUGUUUGAGUAUUCUAUUUAUUUUUUACUUUUACAUAUAAAUAAAAAAAACAGAUGACCAUCUGUCUGUAUCUUAUUCUUAUGAGAAUCUCCCAUUUUAUGUUGGUUUCUUACAAAUGCAUAGAAACUCUUGUGACAGAGACCUCCAAACCCAUCACCCCUCAAAUACAGUAAUCAAUAAAAAGAUUAGAAGAUGCCAAUUCUGAAAAUGUUAUUUUUACUGACUUGCAUUCCCUUGCUGUGUACUGCGCUCUAAUGCAUAGAGAGAACUUCUAGGACUCCAUCAUUAUCCUGUGCAUGGGAAGAUACAAAUUACAGAUUUGGAAUCAGCGUCUUUUAAUCAAUUUACCGACUACUGUAAUUUAAGGGAUUUUAAUCAUCACCUAUCCAAAAGAAUCAUUUGGACCUUCUGUGAUGAUUUAAAGUAUUUGACUAUGGUGUCAUGGGGAAUAAUAUGAAGUAAGGAUAAAAACAUUGGCCCAUAUUUAAGAACAUAAGUGCACUAAGAUGUUGCUAUAAAGUAUGAGAAGAAUCCACUGUGUCUAGCUCGCCAAGGGGAUGUUUCUUACCAGAAAAGUGGUGUGGCUUAAGAUGAAAGGCGUGUGACCUAAGAUUUACCUCAUUUCUGGUGCAAAGAAAUCCAACCAGUUGUUGAUAACCACUCGCCAGAUUUAUUACACAAUAACAUUAUUCAAUACUCUCAAUUUUUUUUAAAUAUAUUUUUUUCAGACCAUCAAUUAUCCUAAUUUGAUAGGAUAACUUCCUCAGGCAAUCAGUUAUCCUAUAUCUUGUAGUAAAUUAUGUUCAAAAGAUUAUUAAGCGUGCUGGAUAUCCUUACUGUAUCAGUUAGGUUGGUGCCUUAUUUUAAGUGUAAUCCUGAGUGCUGUUAUCUCCGUUUGUACUAAACCAAAUGUAUUCAGCAUAAGCCACUGAUACAUUUGGUAUAUGUUUAGACAGCUUGGGUUUACACCACUCUACAGGAUGGGUAAAUCUACCCUAUUGUGUAUUAUAGUGAGAUGCAGUAUAUGACAUACAGUUUAGUCUUAAUGGAGCUCAUUAAUAAGAUAUGUCAUUAAGAGCAAGACCAGUCUUAUGUUAUACACGCCUGCACUUGUUUUUUUUAAGAAUACCUAUGUGUGCAAGGGGAGGGGGGAUAUUGUUUGUGUGUGUGGGGUUAUUAUUCAGCUUAAUCACUUCACUCAGGUGGAUAAAGUUUAUAAUGGACAACAAAUAAGCAUAUGGGGAAAGCGCAGGUGACACAUCAAUGUCAUGGUAAAGUACACAAAAAAACAUAUACUCAAUCAUAACCCACAUAUUGUAUAAGGAGGACGAAUCAUGUUAUUUCCAUACCCUUUUUUUUUCCCCUAUUACUGGUGACCAUAUGCUGAAUGAUUUUCCCAGUUAAACAAUAUAGGAGGAGGAUGGAGAGUGCUAUUGAAUAAUUUGCUUCACACAGUAAUGCAAAACAGUUUUAGUAGUAGUUGAUUUAUAUAAUAUGCAACAUUUGUCUAGAUUUCAGCAGAAUAAGCUAAUGAAAAUCCUGCCAAGUGCGUAAGCACCUCGAAGUGAUAAAUACUAAUGUACAUAAAGUGUACAGAAAAAGUUAUUUCAAGUUUUGUGUUUCAGUGCACAUUGAUAUAAAUAUAAAGGUAUGGCUCCUAAAAUAAGGAAUAAACCUAGGAGUAAAAAGGGUGAUUGCUCAUAAUUGCUUAUACCAGUUAAAGGCGUUGUAUGGUAUUAGAAAAAAAACAGAGCCAGUUGUUUUUUUUUUAUUAUUGAUUAACAUGUAUUUUGGGCUAAAAGCAUUUUGCAGAUUGGCUUCUGCAACGUCUAUUUUUCAUAAUACAUAGAAGCUGCAGAAUGCCAUAUUGUGAUAAAUCCAUCAGACAGCUCCUCUGACCGCUAAUUCUCCUGUUGCACCUUAGCUCUCUUGAACAAACAUCUAAGCAGAUAUAUGCCUAAGUCAAAGUUCAAGUUGGUUCAGGAGAGGUCAAAGAAGGGUAGGAGAACAAGCCACCAGACAGUUGGAGAGAUUUAUCACAGGACAACUUUCUACUGUUGCUAACUACUGUAAAACAUAGAAACUGCAGGAGCCAAAUGGUGCAAAUGUUUUAAUAAAAACUAUGACAAAAAAAACCCAAAAUACAUGUAAAUGAAAAUGGCUUAGAAGGUGUCCAUGGCCUUUAGAUUGUGCUGAGCACCAGAUACAAGCCAAGGCAAAGGUGGAUUGGCCAUAGACCCUACAGGAAAAUUUUCAGAUGGGCUGAUGCCCAGGGGGCCACCCGAGCCCUCCUCAUGGCUGCUGGCCAGGUACAUAACGAUCUGAUGCUCUCAGUAUUAAUAAGGCUAGGAGCAUCAGGUACUUAUGCACAUAGCCAGCAGCCACCCUUCUGAAUUAAUCUGUGUCAGGGUGAUGUAGCAAUAUUUUAUGCUGCACUGUGGUAUUUGGUUUUGCUGGGGCUGUAUUUUGUGCAGCGCUACGGUAUUGCUGGCCCCAUCUACUUCUGUUGUCCCUGCCAUAUUUGUGUUGCCUUGCCUACCAACAUGGGGCCACUUUUAUUACAUUUUUUCUAGGGCCCGUUAAAGUUCCCUUUCCCCACCGGAGCCAAGGUAACUAGUGGCUCAAUUUGUGGGGGGAAAAUCAUAGAGACCCUUUGUUACAAAUCUCCUAUAGUCCCUUUAUGCCAAGUAACUUAUUAAAUAUCUGUUGCCAAAUUUUAAUACACCAGAAAGAUUAUUCUUGUAAACCUGAUUAGUGAUCAGGAUUACUUAAACUGGACAUAUAAGGCACAGCAUUCUUUCAUUGUCAACUUUUAGACAAAAAAUUAACCAUAAGUAGAGGAUGGUGAUUAAUUUGACUGUAGAUGAUGCUUUCUCCCAUAUUAUGUGGACUGACAUAGACUAGUAUAGAAAAGAACAGGAUUAUGAUAUGACUCCAUACAGAUAAUAGUUAUAAUAGUUUUGUGAAUAGCAAUAUCAGAGACCCCAAUGCCAAAUUCAGUGGUCACUUUUUGUCAAUUCUGCUUAUAUUUCAGCACAUAUAUUUUCCUGUUUCUUUAGGCAUGUUGCCCCAUUUCAACUUGCCAUAUAAUACUGAUGGUGCAUACAGAUCAUCAGAUUUAACAGCCUGAUCUAUAAUGUGGGGCGAAGAGCAGUGCUCCUAUGUUCUAAUCUACUGUAGGUGGAUCAGUUGAUCAAAGGAACUAUGAUGUAAUAAAGGAAUGCAAUACUGUGUUUCAGGCUCUAUAAAAUCAAUACUGGAUCUUUAAACAAACCAUAUAGAGCUCUAAAAGUUUAAAUUAAGGUACUAAUUAAAAUAACUCAUUAUGAUACACUUGAAAAACAUUGAAAUGAUCAGAAAAAGUUGGCAUAUUUUAUUCUGUAAAGUGUUUUAUUAUAACAUGUCAUGUAUGUUGUAUCACUUUAUGCUAUUAUUUGUAAUAAUUCCAUACCAAAUUAAAUAAAUGUAUAGUAUAACUAUAAUAACUAAGCAUUCUCCCAACUGUGGAAACAUAACUGAAUUUAUACUCCAUGUUAUGAGUAUUGACUGGGAAAUGCUUCUAAAUCUUCUAAAGGGGUUCUACUAUGCCUUAUAUACAGUAUAUUUUAUUAAUAGUAAACAAGCUGCAGAUCAGCAAACCAAAUAAGCAAAAUCUAGAACAUAAAAGUUAAAUACGUUUUUAACUUGGAAAAGAAAAUCACAAAAAAAGUUUUAAAAAAUUCCAAAGUAAAAAAAAAAACAUUGUACAACUUUGUACAUUACAAAAAAAGUGCAAUUUCCUUUUACAUUUUGAGCCAAUCUUUGACAAAAAUAUUAAUGUUACCACAUUGUAUAUUGUUAAAAUAUAGUAAAGAUCUAUACAAUAAAUAAUUCUGAUAGCUGCUAUUUAUUAAAACGCCAACCACCCUGAUAUCCUCCCUUUAGCAAUAUACUUUUUAUCACAAGGUCAAGUGGUCUCUAGGAUUACAAUUCUAUUAGUGCAUCUGUUAACUAAAACAACUGAACUUAUAAAAAAAACAAAAAAAAACAAAACAUAUGACACGGCUUGUUUUCCUUUAAACACACACAAA
Bufo bufo (common toad) is the source of this 4692-nucleotide long non-coding RNA. RefSeq lists it as uncharacterized. NCBI's taxonomy places the organism in Eukaryota, Metazoa, Chordata, Amphibia, Anura, Bufonidae. The record is from RefSeq and is a predicted model, not a curated record. The transcript is spliced from 2 exons.